CAGCCGCCGCGGGAAUACGGAGGGUGCAAGCGUUAAUCGGAAUUACUGGGCGUAAAGCGUGCGUAGGCGGUUCGUUAAGUCUGUUGUGAAAGCCCCGGGCUCAACCUGGGAAUGGCAAUGGAUACUGGCGAGCUAGAGUGUGUCAGAGGAUGGUGGAAUUCCCGGUGUAGCGGUGAAAUGCGUAGAGAUCGGGAGGAACAUCAGUGGCGAAGGCGGCCAUCUGGGACAACACUGACGCUGAGGCACGAAGGCGUGGGGAGCAAACAGGAUUAGAUACCCCAGUAGUCCCUGUCUCUUAUAC
RNAcentral lists this ribosomal RNA (301 nucleotides) under uncultured bacterium. RNAcentral describes it as "partial 16S ribosomal RNA". It matches the Rfam family "Bacterial small subunit ribosomal RNA", at positions 509 to 807 of the family's 1533-position model. The record is from RNAcentral.